GACUUAAAUGGGGUGGGAAAUGGCCCCAAAUUGGUCCCUCCAAAAUUGAGCCCCAAUAAUGGCCCUAAAUGGGGGGAAUUGACCCCAAAAUGGGCUUAAAUGGGCCCAAAAUGGCCCUAAAUGGGGGGAAUUGACCCCAAAAUGGCCCUAAAAGGGGUUAUAUGGCCCUAAAUGGGGUUAUAUGGCCCCAUAAUGGGCCUAAAUGGGGGGAAUUGACCCCAAAAUGGCCCUAAAAGGGGUUAUAUGGCCCUAAAUGGGUUUAUAUGGCCCCAUAAUGGGCCUAAAUGGGGGGAAAUGGCCCCAAAAUGGGCUUAAAUGGGGGGAAUUGACCCCAAAAUGGCCCUAAAAGGGGUUAUAUGGCCCUAAAUGGGGGGAAUUGACCCCAAAAUGGCCCUAAAAGGGGUUAUAUGGCCCUAAAUGGGGUUAAAUGGCCCCAAAAUGGCCCUAAAUGGGGGGAAAUGGCCCCAAAAUUGCCUUAAAUGGGGAGAAAUGGCCCUAAAUGGGGAGAAAUGGCCCCAAAAUGGGCUUAAAUGGGGAGAAAUGGCCCCAAAAUGGGCUUAAAUGGGCCCAAAAUGGCCCCAAAUGGGUUUAUAUGGCCCUAAAAUGGGCUUAAAUGGGGGGAAUUGACCCCAAAAUGGCCUUAAAUGGGGGAAAUGGCCCCAAAAUGGGCUUAAAUGGGGGAAAUGGACCCAAAAUGGCCUUAAAUGGGGCCAAAAUGGGACUAAAUGGGUUUAUAUGGCCCCAAAAUGGGCCUAAAUGGGAGGAAUUGACCCCAAAAUGGGCUUAAAUGGGGGGAAUUGACCCCAAAAUGGCCCUAAAUGGGGGGAAUUGACCCCAAAAUGGCCCUAAAAGGGGUUAUAUGGCCCUAAAUGGGUUAAUAUGGCCCCAAAAUGGCCUUAAAUGGGCCCAAAAUGGGCCUAAAUUGGGGGAAAUGGCCCCAAAAUGGCCCUAAAUGGGGGGAAUUGAAACCAAAAUGGCACUAAUGACCCCAAAACAGCCCCAAAUCAC
RNAcentral lists this long non-coding RNA (1008 nucleotides) under Coturnix japonica (Japanese quail). RNAcentral describes it as "lncRNA (ENSCJPG00005002295.1)". The record is from RNAcentral. Lineage: Eukaryota; Metazoa; Chordata; Aves; Galliformes; Phasianidae.